Molecule: transfer RNA, 68 nt
Filed under: Entemnotrochus adansonianus
Lineage: Eukaryota; Metazoa; Mollusca; Gastropoda; Pleurotomariida; Pleurotomariidae
Description: tRNA-Leu
Rfam family: tRNA
About the family: Transfer RNA (tRNA) molecules are approximately 80 nucleotides in length. Their secondary structure includes four short double-helical elements and three loops (D, anti-codon, and T loops).
Source: RNAcentral
ACCAAAUUGGCAGAAUAGUGUAAUUGAUUUAGGAUCAGGGUAAAUAGGUGAGACUCCUUUAUUUGGUA